This is a long non-coding RNA of Pezoporus flaviventris, 941 nucleotides long. RefSeq lists it as uncharacterized. The transcript is spliced from 2 exons. The record is from RefSeq and is a predicted model, not a curated record. Lineage: Eukaryota; Metazoa; Chordata; Aves; Psittaciformes; Psittacidae.
UGAUUCCUGUAACAAGAUGCCAAGUGUUUGAUCUCACAGCUUCCAGGGGAGCUGCUCCACUGGGGAGUUACUUAAGGCAAAUCAAGCUCACCGUCAUUCCCAGAGAAAGGGUGGUGCUGGGAUGACAGUUGCAGGCAUUGCUCCGUUAAACCAGAAUUAAAGUCUGCUGCUACUUAAAGGGGAAUGUUUCAGCAGAGCCAGGAGGCAGUUUGUCUCAUCCCUGCUCCAUUGGGUGCUGGGACUCCUGUGAACUGCAACCAGAUGCUUGGCAAGGAGUGCUGCUCUCAAUAACUAUCUCUUCUGUAGCACUUUGUCAUGGUGCAUCCUUUACAAUACAGCACCUGGGAACAGCGGGGUCCCUCCAAUCCACACUGUGGGAUGGGGAGGCACCCAUCAGGGUGAGGUGUUCCACCAGGGAAUGGACAGACAAGUCACACGGCAGCUCUGAGCUUCAGGCUUUCUGGAGACCAGCAACGUGCUCCAAAGCGUGACAAAUGGUGUGCAGACAUCUCAGAGUUGCUUUCAAAGUGACAAUGACAAUGAUGUGCUAAUGCAGCAUCCUGCAAAGGCUCAGGUGGAUUCUCUGCUUCUUGUGCAGGACUUCUAAGACAUAGGUCACUUGGCUGGAGUCCUGCUAUUUGGCAGUCCCUUUAACAUCAUCAAUAAACCUCCAAAGCCAUCUGAGGCUGCAAGAUUAGCAGCUACCACCCCGAUGAGUUUAGUUUAUGCAGUUGAAGGGAUGAAGAAAUACAGUCUAAGGACACAAUCUGCAAAUAAUCUUUGAAAAAGAUAAAGACUUGUAUUAUUUGUCAGCUUCCUUCAUGUUGCACUUCAGCGGGCCAGGCAGGACGUACUGCAUGAAUAGGCAGCGAAGCAGUGGGAGGCAAAGUCAUAAUCGCCUUUUGUGUUCUUUGAUUAUUGUUAUCCAAACUAAACAAAGA